ACACGCCGCCGUGCGCCGUCGCCGCCUCCGUUCUCGGCCGUCUCCCGCGGCGCUAGCAGCCCCGGAUCACCACUCUCCUUCCACCCCCAGCGGCGGCUCGUCGUUCCUCCCUCGCGCCGAGGGUUCCUUCGACGCGACCCUCUCCCAGCCAGUCCAAGCCGGCACAGGUGGUGGUAACAACGGCGGACGGAGGACGCUGCCUCUUCGUUCCACGAGGCGGCACAAGGAAGAACGGCGGUUUCCUGCCACCUCCAUCCAUCCCCGCAUCAUAUAUACUCCAGCAGGAGGUCUGUACAAGUCAUCCGUGUACAAGUCCAAGUGAUAGUUCAUGGCUGCUUGUUUUGCAACAAAGCUCUUAUGUUGGGUUUGCUCCAAGAAACGAGGAGACAAGGGGAAUAAUACCAUGGGAGUCGUGCAUCCUCAAGGAAGUGCACCUGAUUCAUAAGCUGUAGGUAGUGAUUGCCAUCCUUAUCUCUGUAAAAGUUGAAGAUGAUUUCUUUGCAGCUUUAGAUUACUUGAGCUAGGGGCGAUGUACCAGUUAUGUUAUCGAACUUGAAAAAUAUUCAUAUGUCGUGUUGCCUGAUACCAAA
Hordeum vulgare subsp. vulgare (domesticated barley) is the source of this 590-nucleotide long non-coding RNA. RefSeq lists it as uncharacterized. The transcript is spliced from 2 exons. The record is from RefSeq and is a predicted model, not a curated record. Lineage: Eukaryota; Viridiplantae; Streptophyta; Magnoliopsida; Poales; Poaceae.